UCAGACUGCUAAAAAUGGGUCAGGCAGGGUUCAGUCUGUUCAGACAUGUUUCAAAAAUAUUCAGACAAAUAAUGUCAUGAGGAAACUUUUCUUCUGAUUUAUAAAAAAAACCUCAAACACUUGAUGAAUUAAGUCAGCAAAAUGCAAGAUUGAGCAUAACAUUUCUUUAACAAGCUUAUUACUAAUUUAAGUUUUGAAUUCCAAAAAAAAAAUCUUUGGGUUACUAUGAAAAAAAUAUUCUGACCCUCAAGUUCUGAAAAAAUAUUCGGACUUUCAAAGAAAGGGGAAAAAAAGAUCUUUUUCUCCAAGUAAAAAAAAUCCUGGGAGGCCCCUCACACUAUCCCCCUCCUCCCCCGCCCUUGAAACAAGUGUACAAGUGAAAUUGCAUUUACAGAUUGGAUAGACAGGAUUUUCUUCAUAGGAGUUAGUGCAUUUAAGCUGGAUAUUCAGUUACUUCAGGCCAGUUAAGUAAGAUGUUGUACAACUACAGGACUCUCAAUCUCACUCAAGUUGAUGGGUCAGUUGCACGAAUGGUAACUGUAAUUCACACUGGUCACGGGAAAAAGUGCCGCUGUGUGGGAAUCAAUUGUAGUUUCUCCGGAAAAGAUGUUACAGCCAGUGUAUGAAGACUGAACUUUUGAUAGGUCACAGGUGCUCUCGCAAAGACUGAUGGCCUGGCAGCAUAAACUAUUCUAUGGUUAUAGGGGUAAUGUCUUUAAACAGAAGCAUGCUGUUGUGGAGUGAAAGUGCACAAACCAUUGAUAACCCUUUGGAGAAUCAGUACCAGUGUCAAACAGUCUUCGGAUCCUAGAGAAUCAGUUCCUCCAAAUGAACAAAUCACCACAGUCAUAAAAAUUAUGGGCAGAGAUAUUUCAUGGAAGAGAGAUAACAUGACAAUACAAAAAUAGGUGUUGCUGUGGAUUCGGAGGUGAAGUCAUGAGGAGUUGUUGUGAUGGCAGAAGAAUGAGUGAUCAUUUAGCAUUUUGCACAAGGGUGUACGAGUGGUCCAGUUAAACAGAGAUUACAAACAAUUAAAACUAUAAUUUGAUAUUACAUCUACUUGUGAUUGAUGAAAGUAAUUCAAAGUAUCAUUUGGACAGAUCUGAUGAGUUAACAAAUAUUUGAAAGUAUACGAGUAACAUUUUACACACCUUCAAUAUUAGUAUGUUG
Long non-coding RNA from Mercenaria mercenaria, 1170 nucleotides. RefSeq lists it as uncharacterized. The record is from RefSeq and is a predicted model, not a curated record. NCBI's taxonomy places the organism in Eukaryota, Metazoa, Mollusca, Bivalvia, Venerida, Veneridae. The transcript is spliced from 6 exons.